UGAUGGAGAGACACUCGACCCAGGCCAGGCCAGAGGAGGCGUUGAAGCUGGAGCAGCCUCCGAUGUGCAAGGACCGAGAGCCGACCACAGCCUCUCAGAGCACAGGGAUGGCCACACCCAGGUCACACCCGCCUCUGGACACAGAUGCUGCCACGUCCUCCCAGGGUCCCGAGGACAGGCCAGAGAAUGUGGUGGCCAAGCCAGCCUCUGCAGAGGUGGAGGGCCCUGACGGAGCCCUCUCCCAGCUUCCCCUGGCCAAGUUCUUCCCUCCGGACAACCCCACCCACCAGAUGCUGGAGCGGAGCCUGCGGGAGGAGGAGCUGCGAGCACAGCACCAGGCCGCGCUGCUGCGCCUGCGAGAGAUGGCGCUCCAGGAGAAAACGCUCGCGGAGCUGGCCUGGCUGGAGCAUCGACGAGGGUUGUCUCCAACGUUUUGCCAUUAUUAAUGAAGAUAGAGAGAUCAUUUCCUUAAGGUAAAACCUUAGAAAUGGAAUGACCGGGUCAGUGAGAAUGCAUCUGGAAGCCGCUUGAUACUGCCACAUUGGUCUCCAGAAAGGUGAUUCCAGUUAACAUCCUCACCCGGUGUCUGAGCGGGCCAGACUGAGGGUG
This 609-nucleotide long non-coding RNA is filed under the name Homo sapiens (human). Its description in RNAcentral is "non-protein coding lnc-CCDC187-1:26". Lineage: Eukaryota; Metazoa; Chordata; Mammalia; Primates; Hominidae. The record is from RNAcentral.